UAUUUCUAUAGGGUAGUAUAAUUGCGUAGUAUAGUAAUUGGUAAAUGUAUUUUUAGGGGUGAUAGGCUUUACAAGUUUGUGGAUAACUUGAUACACAAUAAAAUUAUAAAGUAAUAAUUCAUAUUCUAAAAGUUAAGCUUUAGAAUAUUAAUUAAUUUAAUUUAAUGUAUAUAUUAUAGUUUAAUAGCUAAUUUAUAUAAAUAUAAUUAUUUUUUAUUAUAUUUUAUUUUAAUUAUUGUGUUAUAUUUUUUUAAGGAAAAUAUUGAUAAUGUUAAUAUAAGUAAUUAUACUAAACAGGUUUUAUGAACUCGGCAAAUUAUUUUUCAACUGUUUAUCAAAAACAUAACUAUAUGAUAUCAUGUAUAGCUUUUCCUGCUCAAUGAUAUUAAAUAGCCGCAGUACCCUGACUGUGCAAAGGUAGCAUAAUCAGUUGGCUCAUAAUUGGAGUCUAGAAUGAAUGGAUUUUUGGAAAAUGACUUUAUUUUACUUGCUUAUUUAAAAUUAGUUUGUAAGUGAAAAUACUUACAUUUAUAUAAAGGACGAGAAGACCCUAGAAAUUUUUUAUUUUGUUGGGGCGACAGAAUUACAUAAAACUAAUUUGAAUAAACGUAACGUUUUUACAUUUCGAUUAAAUUACUCUAGGGAUAACAGCAUAAUUUUAAUAGUUUGUGACCUCGAUGUUGGACUAGGAUAUUAAUGGUCUAGAAGACUUUUAAAUUUGCUCUGUUCGAGCU
RNAcentral lists this ribosomal RNA (734 nucleotides) under Theba chudeaui. RNAcentral's name for it is "partial 16S ribosomal RNA". Lineage: Eukaryota; Metazoa; Mollusca; Gastropoda; Stylommatophora; Helicidae. The record is from RNAcentral.